This 3161-nucleotide long non-coding RNA is filed under the name Mus musculus (house mouse). RNAcentral describes it as "long non-coding RNA chr15:65835552-65838713". Lineage: Eukaryota; Metazoa; Chordata; Mammalia; Rodentia; Muridae. The record is from RNAcentral.
AACAACAACAAAAAAAAAAAACCAAAAAAACCUAAAAAUCAGACAUGGUUGGUUUCUAAUCAGUCUCUCUAAGAUAGCUGAAAUGACGUAAUAAUUUUGAGUAUAUGCUGGAUUUCUUCUUACCCCCACAGUGCUCAGGUGCACUUGGCAUUUUGAAUGUUAUCCAGCUUUUCUCGGUGCCAGAAGCGUGCAAUCCCCCAUGUUACUUACUCAGGAAGAAUGUUAUUCAGUAGCUAAAAUAGAAUUACCCAGUUAUGCUUAUGGUUCCUGCUCUUGGAAGAGGAAUGCACAGCAUCAAAAUGGAUUUGGAAAUGAGAAGCAGUUGAUAAUUUUAUGCUAACACAGAUGGAAUAAUAUGUAUUCUGGUUAAUGCCAACUUCAGGAAGGAUUGCUUUUUAAGCCCCGGAUGUGACUAUCUCUAGCUUUGUAAUCCUCCCUAAAAAUGGGAUAUAUUCUAGAACCUUCUGUAUUUUUCUUAUUUUUAGAGCUAUAGCUAAGGCUUAAGAUUUUCCUAUCUGAAAUAUUUACUAUAUAAAGAUCUCUAGCUAGUCAGGGGCCUGUUUUCCAAUGAGACCUGAUGCUAUCAUAAAUAAGCUAGAAGGAACAUUGGGAAUACAAACUACUCUUAAAAGAGCAGGCCCCACGCCCAGCAGUAGAUGGCCAAUAGAAAGUGAGUUCAGUGGCACCUUUGGAGGUUAUUUGUCUUAUAAUGCUCUUCACACUUCUUCCCAUUUUAUUAAUUUUUUCUAUCUAUCUGUCUGUCUGUCUGUCUGUCUAUCCAUCUGUCAUCUAUUCUCUCUUUUUCCCCUGCAGGUCCUAUACAUGUGGAUUGUGGCUUCCAGUUUAGUGUUUUAUGGGAUUGCUGAAUUUACACAUGAGUGGUUUUCUGUUUCUUGUGCCUUUUUCUUUUUGUUUCUUUUGUCCAGUUCCAAUGUGUUAGUUUUUGUUUUAUUUUAUUAUAUUUUAUUUAUUAUUCUCCCUUAGAAACCUGUUUGUUUUCUGAGUGACAGACAGAAAGGUGGUGGAUCCUGAUGGGACAGGAGGUAGGGAGGAGCUGGAAGGAGUACAGGGAGGGAAACAUAAUCAAGGAAUAUUGUGUGAGAGGAAACAAAUCAUUUUCAAUAAAAGGAAAAGAAAGACAAAUGAAACAGAGACUAUGGAUGCCGCAUCAUAAGUUGUACGUUUCUGGUGUAAUCCUAGUGCAACAGAUGUAUAUUUUUUUAUUGUUGUUACAAUAAAUAUGUUGCAAAAAAGGCAUAAAAGUAUGUCCCAAGAUGCAGACAAAACAUACUUUCUACUGAAAAGUCUCUAUAUGCAACUAUUCUCAUUGGUUUAAUUUUUUUCAUUUUUAAUUCUUGGAUUCUAUUUGGAUAUAUUUUUCAGCUCUUUUCAUUUGUCCCAGCUAUGGUUACGUAGGGAGUGGGCCUGUACUCACUCAGAUCUGUACUGGUGUGGAUGUUGAUACUGUCUAUGAAAGUGAGCAGAUAGGAGCUGCUACAUUCUGCUGCUUUAUUUUUGAGACAGGGUCUCACUUACUCUGUAGCUCUGGCAGGCCUGACAUUCCUUAUGGAGACCAAGUUGGCCUUGAACUCAGAGAACUUCCUGCUGGGGUUAAAGGUGAAUGCCACCACACCCAGCCUCUGAGUGUUUUACUGGCAUAAAGGACAUCCUAUUAGAAACAAGUUCCUACCUACUGGAAAGAUUGUAUGCUUAGCUCUGAGCAUGCUAAGUUCAUGAAUUAACUUUGAGUUAAGGUUUAAUUUUAUUUAGGGAUAAAACAAAAACAAAUAUUUUUCACAUUUCUGAGAAGUAAAGUUUAUUGUUUACCCUUUAAAACUAAAAUAGACUUUUUUUGCAUUGGCCUUUUUUAUUUCUUUUUCAGUCGCCUAGGCCCACCUUCUUCCCCCUCUGCAGCUGACAAAGAAGAGAACCCUGCAGUGCUGGCAGAGAGCUGUUUCAGAGAACUGCUGGGCCGAGCAACUUUUGGGAAUAUGAAUAAUGCUGUUAGGCCAGUUUUUGCGUGAGUACUUGCUAUUUUUCUAGUUAUCCAUGAAGGUCACAUUGGGCAUCCAUUAUGUGUUUAUUUGUUUCCUUUAAGUAUGAAUACCAUGUACUACAUCACUUGCCAUGCAUAUCUCCUUACAUCCCUUGAAAUACUUAUGUGGAGUGAGAAAUUAGACAGUGUCACCAACAUGUGAUGCACAUUGCUGCCCUCCCUUCCCUCUCUAUUUCUUUCUUUUUUCUUCAAAUUGAACCUAGCACCCUCCCAUAGAGCUAAAUCUUACAUUUUCUUUCUGCCUUUAAUGGGAGCUUAAGAUUCUGUUGACUUUUCUGAAUAAACUCCUAUUUUACUCAGAGUCUAAUCAAGAUAAGACUAUUGAAGACCUCACUGAUCCUUACUUACAUGGUGUCUUCCAGGCUCUUAUGCAGUAAGUUUCUCUGCACAAUCAGUAUCCUGCAGGCAGGCCUUCCAGGUCUUGUGCUCCUAAUCCCAUCAUAGCAUGAUAGAUCAGUGCACUCUGAGAGCCUGUAUAAGUACUGGGUGGUUUUGCUGAACUCUUCUUUGUUACAAUUCAGCACCAUCCCCUCUUCACGCUCUGGCUGUAGUGAACAUAGUGUAUACAGAAUGUUUUCCAUGUAACGUCCAGGAUUCUUAUUGGGGAGCAGGCAUUUUUACCUCAGGUUUCAGAGUUAACCUUCAAAUACAAGAAUUAUUAAGUAGCAAAACUAUAUUAAAAAUCAAGAGUAUCAUCACCUCUUCAAAAUAACUUGUGGUCUUCCCUCUUCCCUAUCACAGUAGCCUUACAGAAAUACUACUAAAAAGUAACCAAAUUGUGUUAAAUAUAGUAAGGCAGAUUAUAUUGACGUAUGACCAAAAAUUUAGGCCAAAAGAUAGAAUUUAGGCUAGUUAGAUACAAGGCCAACUUUACCACGUUAACUACUAUAUUUGAGUUGAAGAAUUUAAACUAGGCUUUUGUCCUCCUCCCACCUUUUUAAAUUACAAUACGUUUAUCAUACUAUAUACUUUGAUCAUGUUUUUACCUUCCCUCAACAACUCAGAUCUUUCCUCUCUUCCUUUCCACCCAAUUUUAUCUUCCUUAUCUUUCUUUUAAAACAAAGCAAAAAACUACCACAAAAAUCAAAACAAGCAAAAGAAUGAG